This 497-nucleotide ribosomal RNA is filed under the name uncultured bacterium. RNAcentral describes it as "partial 16S ribosomal RNA". It matches the Rfam family "Bacterial small subunit ribosomal RNA", at positions 28 to 507 of the family's 1533-position model. The record is from RNAcentral.
GAUGAACGCUGGCGGCGUGCCUAAUACAUGCGAGUCGAGCGAACAGAUGAGGAGCUUGCUCCUCUGACGUUAGCGGCGGACGGGUGAGUAACACGUGGAUAACCUACCUAUAAGACUGGGAUAACUUCGGGAAACCGGAGCUAAUACCGGAUAAUAUAUUGAACCGCAUGGUUCAAUAGUGAAAGACGGUUUUGCUGUCACUUAUAGAUGGAUCCGCGCCGCAUUAGCUAGUUGGUAAGGUAACGGCUUACCAAGGCGACGAUGCGUAGCCGACCUGAGAGGGUGAUCGGCCACACUGGAACUGAGACACGGUCCAGACUCCUACGGGAGGCAGCAGUAGGGAAUCUUCCGCAAUGGGCGAAAGUCUGACGGAGCAACGCCGCGUGAGUGAUGAAGGUCUUCGGAUCGUAAAACUCUGUUAUUAGGGAAGAACAAAUGUGUAAGUAACUAUGCACGUCUUGACGGUACCUAAUCAGAAAGCCACGGCUAACUACGUG